Molecule: ribosomal RNA, 534 nt
Filed under: Erioscyphella lushanensis
Lineage: Eukaryota; Fungi; Ascomycota; Leotiomycetes; Helotiales; Lachnaceae
Description: eukaryotic LSU rRNA
Rfam family: 5.8S ribosomal RNA (bases 195-348)
Source: RNAcentral
UUCCGUAGGUGAACCUGCGGAAGGAUCAUUACAGAGUUCUUGCCCUUCGGGGUAGAUCUCCCACCCUUGUGUAUUAUAACAGAUUGUUGCCUUGGCGGGCCGUAGCUUACUGCCCGGGAUCCGUCCCGGUGAGCCCGCCAGAGGAACCCUAAACUCUGAAUAUUAGUGUCGUCUGAGUACUAUAUAAUAGUUAAAACUUUCAACAACGGAUCUCUUGGUUCUGGCAUCGAUGAAGAACGCAGCGAAAUGCGAUAAGUAAUGUGAAUUGCAGAAUUCAGUGAAUCAUCGAAUCUUUGAACGCACAUUGCGCCCCUUGGUAUUCCGAGGGGCAUGCCUGUUCGAGCGUCAUUAUGACCAAUCUAGCCUGGCUAGGUCUUGGGCUCCACCGCUUGGUGGGCUUCAAAACUAGUGGCGGUGCCCUCAGGCUCUACGCGUAGUAACUUUUCUCGCUAUGGAGCCCUGGGGGAUACUUGCCAUCAACCUCAACUUUCUUAGGUUGACCUCGGAUCAGGUAGGGAUACCCGCUGAACUUAA